This 2043-nucleotide unclassified non-coding RNA is filed under the name Hevea brasiliensis (rubber tree). The record is from RNAcentral. Lineage: Eukaryota; Viridiplantae; Streptophyta; Magnoliopsida; Malpighiales; Euphorbiaceae.
AAAACACCUCCUUUCGACACCUCUCGCUUUGUUCCGUUUGUCUCUUUCAAAUGAACCCGCAAAAUCCACCCACCCUUGCACAUGCUGUUCUGCUUCCUUUCUCUUUGCCUCUAUGAUUUUUCUCCCAACGCCUGUCCCUUUCCUAUUCUAAUUUCACAUUUUCUCCUCUUGUUUUAGCCUUUAUUAUCUUCAAUCUCAACUGGGUUUUCUUCUAUUUUGUGCUGAUUUCUAUUCCAAUUUCUAGGGUUUUCUGUUUUUCUCUUAACUUCUUUGCCAUUUAUAACCUUCAAUCCCCAACUGGGUCUUUCCUUCUCUUGUAUUAGGAUUAGUUUAAUUUCACUUGUUUCUAUUGCUGGGUACUCUUAGAUCUCAAAUUUCCUUUCUUGGUAUUAACAUUUUCUCUAUAUUCACUGUUCUGCUUCAUAUAGUUCUUAAUUGUCAAUCAAUGUCACAAGGCUAUGCAAUUGAGCUUUAUUUCGAUCCGGCCCUUGAAAACCAGGUCUUGAAGGCCUGGAACGUGCUAGCUCGACGCCAAAUCAGCACCCAACUCAUCGAAAUCGAGUCUCGCCCUCACAUAACCCUCUAUUCUAGCUCGUUUGUUGAGCCUACUAAACUGGAAUCGAUAGUCAAGACCUUUGCCUCAAAGCAGGAACCAUUAUCCUUAUCUCUCUCUGCAAUUGGGGGUCUCCCAAAUGACAACAAUGUCCUCUUUUUAGCCCCUACGCCUUCACUUUCACUUCUUCAAUUUCAUUCUCAGUUGUACGAUGCAUUGAAGAAGGAGGGAAUUGAGAUCAGUGAAGAGUACCGCCCUGACUCCUGGAUUCCUUAUUGUGCAGUGGCUCAAGAUGUGCCAAAGGCAAGGAUAGGAGAGGCAUUUUGUGUUUUGAGAGACUUGAAGUUGCCGGUUACAGGGUAUGCAAUGGAUAUUGGGUUGGUAGAGUUCUCACCAGUUCGUGAAUUAUUCUCAUUUGUCCUUGGCAAUUCAGUAGAAUGAUGAGGUCUUUUAUGGUCUUGUUAUAAUGUGUUUAGAUUUAUAAUUUGAAUGUGUUACAUUUUAAAUGUUUUGGUUCAAUUUUAGGUUUAUAUGAAUGGUGCUAGUUUAGAGCAUGGUAGGGAAUUUGCAUUUGUGUUUAUGGGCAUAAGUUGAUAAUGAUAAAUCUAUUUAUUCAUGUUUAUAUUGUUUUCAAUUUUGUGUACGAUGCAAUUUUUUUUUCAAAUGUUGUGAUUCUUUUUGUUUGGCUUGUUAUAUUUCUUUUAUGUACCUUUGGUUCUGUAUGCUGAGUGCACAGAUCAUUUAAGCAGUCUUCGCAUUACUUAUCUGGGAUCUAAUAUUUUUUUUCUUUCCUCCUUUUCCUUUCUUUCUUUUUCUUCCAUUGUGGAACAAGUUCAGGAAUCCAAGUUGAUCGCUUAGUAGCGGCAUAGUAAUUUUUUGGUACCUAACGGCCCAAUGCUUCAGUGUUGCAUGUGUUAAUCAGUUGCAUCAGAGAUUUAUCAUGCAGCCUUUGAUUCCCAUUAUUCAUUGUCAAAAUGAUCUGUUGGUUUGCACCAGCUGUUGGAUCACUUCCUACUUACUCAAAUGCAUAUAGUAUGUGGCAUUCAUAGCAUUCCGACUAUAGCCCAUACACCAUGUGUGCUUUGGGUUUUUAGAUUCUGUUUCAUAAGCCUGCUUUCGGGGUGUUUAUGAGAAUUACAUACCUUGCCUGCUGCUGGUAGUCUUGCAUUGCUAACCACAUUAUAAUGUUGGCUGAAAAAUCUUCUCAAAGUUUUCUUCUUGUGUGAUAAAGGAGAAACCAUAGUCAGUCAUAAUCCUUUCUCAUUUAUUCUGGUUUAUCAUUCAUUUUUGACUGCAUUGCUUUAGGUAAAUUUUGAGUUAUCAAUCUUUUCAUUCUUGUGUAAGCAGCCUAUGCAUCUGUUUUAUUUGAGAAGAAUUUGCAGUCUGAAAUAUAUCUUUCAAACCUGAUUAUAUCUCCUUGCAUAAGCUACAUUUUCUGUGUAAUUCUAGUUGUUCCUAGAAUUAUACUAUUUCAUCUCAGUGGGAUUUUU